GGGGCUCGUGGGCGCGGGCGGGGCGGCUCGCGGGUGGGCCCGCCGGCUCGCGGGGCCCCGUUUCCCGGUCUUCGCUCCCCCACGUAUCCGCGUCUCGCGGCUUCCCUCGCCGCGAUUCGCGACCUUAAAACUAACAAGAGGCUCUGCACGGGGCAACCUGCGGUGGCCCGGCGCGCGAGCGCCCGGGAAAGUUCCCGCAAAUUGCCGAGUUGGGGGCCCGCCCCGGCCGCGGGCGGGGCCGUUGCCCAGACCCCGGGCGGUGGCACCGCCGGCCCCGGUCACGCGCUCUAGAGGAGGAGGACGGGCACCUCUCUGGAGCUAAUCCCCGUGCUCGGCACGCGCGACCGGGACCGUGGACCCUGGGCAGCCCUACGAAGAAGGCGGGGCCCGCGGGGCUGGCAGAAAGCCAGCGCCCAGACCCACCGUUAAGUGGAAAAAGCAAAGAGCAUGAGAAAACUGAAGGCCAGAAAGGGUUAGCGACUCCCCAGGUCACACCACAAGUUAAGAGCGAUGGAGCCAGAGCACCUUCUCAACGGUCUGUGCCUGCAAGUUCCCAUCCUCCACCCUCCAGCCAGACCACAGAGUGAACUAGAUGAUUCAAAACAAAACGUGACCGCAACUUACCGGGCUCCCUUCUUGUCAGAGAAUAAGUCCCUGAGGGUCCCACUGAGCCCCAUCACACUCGCAUCCCGUUCUCCACUCCAUCCCCCCACCACGCACACUUUGCUCCCCCCGAGUUGAAUAACUUGCAUUUUCUGGAACAUACCUUGCUGUUUAAGGUUUCUCUGCCUUUGCUUACGCUCUCCUCUCUACCUGAAGCGCCCUUCCUCCCCUCCAGUGUGAGUUAAUGUGACCUAGGGAAGCCAGCAGGAGCCAUGUCAUCUGAUGGGCUUGGAUUCAGAAUCCCACUUCUGGCCCUUAAUUCUGUGCUUUCUGUAAGUUGCUUAAGGACCUCAGGGACAAUUCACCGGGAAAAUGGCCGUGACAACGGGUCUCCCUGGAGUAACUAACCUAAGAGCGUUUUUGGCAAUGGAACCACUCCUGUGAUGGUUCACAACCUAGAAGAGGUGUUUGUGACUAGGCCACAGGGCUGUACUGCUAGGGAACGAAGAUAGCACCUCCCUGCUGUUGGAAGCCAUGCUGGUGGUUUCAUCAGGAGGAGUCAACUGAGGGAGGAAUGGAAGACCGAGCAGAACCUGAGAAGCAGGAUUGGAAAUGCCCAAGGUUUUAGAAAGACCAUGAUCGCGUCACGAUCACCCCCCUGCUCUGAGGAUAACGUGGAUCGCCAAGGAGACAGCUUGAUCCAGGGGCCCCAACAAGUCCACGGACUCUGAGUUAGAAAAUUAAAGUCCCACUGAAAGGACUAUGGGGGCCCUGAACCAUCCACGUGGGGGGGUGUUGUGUGUGUGCCGUGUGUGUCCACGAGAGGGCAUGUGUGGAAGAACACAGAAUAAAUCAGGUGAAACCUGGCCUCUCGGGCCCAGCAUUGACCUUCCCUUUGUCCCAGCAUCUCCAUAUCUAGAAAUAUGAUCUGAAAGGGUUACUCUUUCUCUCUUUUAUUUCUUCCUCCUCUGCUGCCAUUUAUAAAGACAGUUUCUUAAAAGAUGCAUUUUUUGAAUACAUCAUGAAAAGUCAUUUCGCACUCGCCAGGUCUUGGCACAGAUUCCUAGAGAGGAUUUUUCCAGGGAAAAGGGGGCAGUUCUGAAGCCACACAGGCGCAUUCCCUGCCAUCCCCUCUGCAGCCCAGAUCUGCAGCAUGUAAGCUUUCAUUUUGAACAAAGUCAAGUCUAUUCAUGAAGAAUGAACAAUGAAACACCAUGGGUGCCAAAGCCUGGGUUUGGAAAUGCGGCUUCUGAAGUGGAACCAUGGCUGUGCUUCCCAGCAGGAGAAAGAUCUCCCACGGGGCCUCCCAAGUGCAUGAAGGACCCAGAGUGGUGGGGGCCCUACUGCCUUUCCUCAUCCGCAGGACCAGAAGCUAAGGAGCGGUGCUUGGUUCUGUUUUUGAUGUGACCUCUGCUGUCACGGUCGGGACUCCCGGAUGGUGAUGGCGGGGCACCAGCAGCACGUUAUCCGUGAUGCGUCACAGCCGAGGUACUUUUCCACUGGGCUCACAGCCACAGCCCUUCUCCAUCCUUCCGUAGAAUCACCGCACACCAUGGACACUUGCCUCUCUCUCUCCUGCUGGACUCCACUUCUUAGGGACAGUUUCCGGGUGCUCAAGCCUAUCCCAGUGCCUAGCACCCAGUUAUUAAAUUGACUCUCUAUUCCUUUAAAAAAAAAAAAGAAGAAGAACCACCACUUUUAGAAAUCAGACUGAAAACUCAGUCUCUUGCUUUCACACGAGCCUUCCUGGCGUGAAGACCUGCAGCUUGAUAGGAGUGGAGGGAGAAAAAACCAGAACCCUCGGUUUCAGGAAGACGGAGCCCAACCCCUGUGAUCAUUCAAAGAGAUUUCAGGAACUCCUCCACUAACGGCCCAAUUUCCCUGGCUUGAGAUUCGAGAGGAAACAGAAGAAAGACCCAGGGGGUUACUUAUACACCGAACAAGAAAUGCAGGAUAUAAAACUGUGCAUGUUGUUUGCUCCUGAUUGUUUAAAAAAAUAAUCAUCAGACUUAAACCUGGAAGGAACAAAGCCUGAGUGUUAACAGUGGUUCAUUCUGCGUAGAGGGGUGAUGGGUGAUGGAUGAUAGUUUCUGCUGCUUUUUAUGUUUUGCACUAACCAUUAAUACUAGGGGAGGGAGUAUUAAAAUGAAGGAAGGAAAGGUCAAGAAAGCCAAAGCCCUGUUAGGGGGCAACCUCCCCAGUCGUGCUCUCCUUAAAGCCAAGGCCCCCUCUCCUAGGGCCCCUCAACCCUGGGCUGUGCUCCUUCCUGGGGUCACUCCUAGUCCCUUAGGCACUUCAAACCCACUUUUUCCCGCCUCUGAGCUCAGCAUCUGCUCCAUCCGUGACUGCCUUCUACUCAUUGGUAGAGUGUGUACCAAGUGCUUAGCACUGAAUGAAUACAAAAAGAUUACAGAUUGUUCCAAAUCUAUAUUUUCUGACAUUUUAAAAUGAGGAUGCUUUUCUAUGUUUUUUAAUCCACCAAGAUAUCUAUAUGUCUUUAAAAAACAACAACCCUUGAAGUCUUUAGAUAAGCUCUUCUGGUAUCUGGACGUGGCUUAUCCACUCCUUUUCUGUUUUCCCUGUUUCACUGUCCCCAUCCCUAGGGGCCAGUUCUCUGCGUAGUGGCGCAAGGAAAUGGCCUUGCAAACUCUAUAGAGGUGGAAACUCCCAGGAUACCCUUGAAGAUGGUGUUUAGGAAUCACAACAUAAUUUAACAAUAAUCAGGACAGCUGGGUAUUGGCAUGUGGAUGAAAGUAUAGAUCAAUGGAACAGGAAG
Physeter macrocephalus (sperm whale) is the source of this 3379-nucleotide long non-coding RNA. RefSeq lists it as uncharacterized. Lineage: Eukaryota; Metazoa; Chordata; Mammalia; Artiodactyla; Physeteridae. The record is from RefSeq and is a predicted model, not a curated record. The transcript is spliced from 3 exons.